UACGGAAGGUCCGGGCGUUAUCCGGAUUUAUUGGGUUUAAAGGGAGCGCAGGCUGGAGGGUAAGCGUGACGUGAAAUGCCGCGGCUCAACCGUGGAAGUGCGUCGCGAACUGUCCUUCUUGAGUGUAUUCGACGUAGGCGGAAUUCGCGGUGUAGCGGUGAAAUGCUUAGAUAUCACGAAGAACCCCGAUUGCGAAGGCAGCCUACGAGGCUACAACUGACGCUAAAGCUCGAAGGUGCGGGUAUCGAAC
RNAcentral lists this ribosomal RNA (250 nucleotides) under uncultured prokaryote. RNAcentral describes it as "partial 16S ribosomal RNA". It matches the Rfam family "Bacterial small subunit ribosomal RNA", at positions 524 to 773 of the family's 1533-position model. The record is from RNAcentral.